CAGCCGCCGCGGGAAUACGUAGGGUGCGAGCGUUAAUCGGAAUUACUGGGCGUAAAGCGUGCGCAGGCGGUUUUGUAAGACAGGCGUGAAAUCCCCGGGCUCAACCUGGGAAUGGCGCUUGUGACUGCAAAGCUAGAGUGCGGCAGAGGGGGAUGGAAUUCCGCGCGUAGCAGUGAAAUGCGUAGAUAUGCGGAGGAACACCGAUGGCGAAGGCAAUCCCCUGGGCCUGCACUGACGCUCAUGCACGAAAGCGUGGGGAGCAAACAGGAUUAGAUACCCCCGUAGUCCCUGUCUCUUAUAC
This 301-nucleotide ribosomal RNA is filed under the name uncultured bacterium. RNAcentral's name for it is "partial 16S ribosomal RNA". It matches the Rfam family "Bacterial small subunit ribosomal RNA", at positions 509 to 807 of the family's 1533-position model. The record is from RNAcentral.